Molecule: unclassified non-coding RNA, 211 nt
Filed under: soil metagenome
Description: partial contains 5.8S ribosomal RNA, internal transcribed spacer 2, and large subunit ribosomal RNA
Source: RNAcentral
AACAAGGCGUACCUGCGGACUGCGGAAGGAUCAUUACAAGUGACCCCGGUCUAACCACCGGGAUGUUCAUAACCCUUUGUUGUCCGACUCUGUUGCCUCCGGGGCGACCCUGCCUUCGGGCGGGGGCUCCGGGUGGACACUUCAAACUCUUGCGUAACUUUGCAGUCUGAGUAAACUUAAUUAAUAAAUUAAAACUUUCAACAACGGAUCU